Molecule: ribosomal RNA, 539 nt
Filed under: Alpheus cyanoteles
Lineage: Eukaryota; Metazoa; Arthropoda; Malacostraca; Decapoda; Alpheidae
Description: partial large subunit ribosomal RNA
Rfam family: Bacterial large subunit ribosomal RNA
Source: RNAcentral
GUCCUCAUGAUAGAAAUGUGAGGUCUGGCCUGCCCACUGAGGAGAAUUGAAGGGCCGCGGUAUAUUAACCGUGCGAAGGUAGCAUAGUCAAUAGUCUUUUAAUUGGAGGCUUGAAUGAACGGUCGGACAUGAAGGAGACUGUCUUGGUUUGUAGAGAUGAAUUUAACUUUUGUGUGAAAAGGCAUUAAUGGGUUAGGGGGACGAUAAGACCCUAUAAAACUUGAUAUUUAGUUGUUGGAUUUUCUAUUUAUGGGUUAAAGAAUGGGUUCGGUGAAGUGUAUUGUGCUGGGGCGGCAGGAAUAAAAGAAUUAACUGUUCUUGUUAAUAUAAUAAUUAUAAUUAGAUAUUGACCCUGAAUUUUGGGUUAAAAGUUUAAGUUACUUUAGGGAUAACAGCGUUAUUUCUCUUGAGAGUUCAUAUCGACAGAGAUGUUUGCGACCUCGAUGUUGAAUUAAAGCUUUCCCUGGGAGUAGAAGUUUAGGUGAUAGGUCUGUUCGACCUUUAAAGUUUUACAUGAUUUGAGUUCAAACCGGUGUGAG